This 377-nucleotide long non-coding RNA is filed under the name Homo sapiens (human). Its description in RNAcentral is "HSALNT0395716". Lineage: Eukaryota; Metazoa; Chordata; Mammalia; Primates; Hominidae. The record is from RNAcentral.
UGUGCGAGGGAGGCCGGGAGGGGUCCCUGGGCGGGGAGUUGCUGCGCAUCUGUUGUGUGUGUGCGUCUGUCUGUCUGUUCAGGCUGCGUCGGUCUGUCUGUCUGGGUCUGUUUCAGGCUGUGUCUGUCUGUCUGUCUGGGUCUGUUUCAGGCUGUGUCUGUCUGUCUGUCCGGGUCUGUUUCAGGCUGUGUCUGGGUCUGUUUCAGGCUGUCUGUCUGUCUGUCUGGGUCUGUUUCAGGCUGUGUCUGUCUGUCUGUUUGUCUGGGUCUGUUUCAGGCUGUGUCUGUCUGUCCGGGUCUGUUUCAGGCUGUAUGUGUGUCUGCUCUUUGCUUCUGCUCCUGGCUCUGUGUGUAUUUCCCGGGUCCUGUGGCCCUCUU